Molecule: transfer RNA, 64 nt
Filed under: Stenopus hispidus (banded coral shrimp)
Lineage: Eukaryota; Metazoa; Arthropoda; Malacostraca; Decapoda; Stenopodidae
Description: tRNA-Leu
Source: RNAcentral
UCUAAAAUGGCAGAGCUUAUGCAUAGGACUUAAGAUCCUAAAACAAGGAUACCCUUUUUUAGAA